UCCAUUCGAAGUUCUGAGAUUAUUUGCUAUGCAAUUUGCAUAUUCCUCAUCUUUGAAUUUGUUUGGUUUCAAAACCAUGAUUCCCUUUGAACCUAUUUAGGUUCCUGAAGGGCUUCAUCUGUUGCUCGAUUGAAUUUCCAAAUCUUUUGUUUCUCUAUGUGAUUCUGACUUCAUCCUAUACUUUCUAGAAAGGUCUUUUACUUGACUCUUCUGCAUGCUUCUGAUACCAUCUUCUCCUUAUUACUAAGUUGACUUAUGUGACUACCAUGUUUCACUAUCCACAAACUUUGUAAUUAUUAUUACUGUUUCUCUUUGCCAUGGUUUAACCUCGCAUGCCUAAAGUUUGUGCACCCUUUUAUAUGCUGAAUUUUCCUCUCAAAAUAACCUUAAUUGUGGACUAAUUCCAAACCUCUUUGUGUAAUUCUGAUUGCACUCUUGUAAUUGAUUCUUUCUUUAUUAUACUGAUUUCCCUGUUUCUUGGACCGAUUCGAAUACUUUCCUUUGAUCCUUCAACUUCUACCUUUUCUACUGAAUUUGAUUAUGCCCCUUAUCUUGAUUACAUUGUUAUGGUAUUCUUACAGACUUUUCAUUAGAAUCUGAUGAACCUAGCCCCUAUUACCUACUAUGUACUUGUACUAUGCUGGAAAAACUUCAUUAUUGGCCAUAUUCAACCCUAUGUGAUUCUUUUCCUUAUUUUACAUGUUACCAUUUGAUUUUAACUCCUUAAUUAAAGGAAGUCUUAUAUUGAUUGAUUUUAAUUGGUACCCAGUUCCAUAAUUAUGUUUCUUACCUUAUUUUCUGCCAGUUUUCACACUAUAAAUACCCGAAUCUUUCAUUGACACAAACACACACGAACACUCUUAGUUUUCUGAACUCACACUCAUAUUCAGAAACAUUCUCUCUUGUUACUUGUGUCGUGAUCGUUUUUCAAGUACUACUACUAUUGUGUUUUGCUUCUUUCAAACCGGUAUCUCCUGAUUAAGAUUUUCAGUAAUCACAACAAUGUGUUUAUUUACCAUCUAUACUUGCAUGUCUGCCUACUGCUUAUGUAUAAUUCAAUGCUUACCUUAGCAUGCUGUAAUUUCCUUCUGCCUAUUCUAAAUCUAUUAUGAAUCCCAAAAUGCCACCCAUAUGUAUUCAUGCUGUGGUUUGUUUGUGGCAUGGCAGUACAACAAAUUAUUGUCCAUCACUCAAACUUGAUCCCCUGUGAUUUUAGCCUCUAAUAUUGUGUUCUGGCAGGCUUAUAGGCAUGCCAACAUCCUCCAUUGCUAGGCAUGCCUAAAGCUUGCCCUUGCCUAAGCAAUAGUCUCUUUGUAACUCCUGUAUCCCCUUGAACCCCUUUGUGUGAAUUUAUCAAUUUGCUUGUGGAUGUUUCCCUCUCCUUUAUCCCCUUUGAACUUUGUCCUUCACUUUCACACUCUCUUAGACUUUAUGUUCUCCCCCCCCCCCCUUGUGAACCUUAAUUUGGGACCCCUUGAGCUCCCUCUGAACUGGAACACUUGAGGGCUAGCCCUUCCACACUAUACUUACCCCAUUCUGGUAAUACAAUUUGGGUGUGAACACUGCCCGGAGUCCCAUUGAGGCUCUUAGGGAACUUUGGCAUACUCAAAUUGGAGAAAGGCUUUGGAUCAAUGAUCUUUGAGUUGGGUCUAUCUUGUAACUUAGAGAGGAAGUCAGAAUUAGGCUUUCUCUGUUUGUAUUUUUCUUUAUAGUUUCUUAUGUAAUUUUAUUUAUUUCGAGCUGUAAUAAGUUAUAAUAAACAUUUGGGGCUGGCUAGUGAAAAAGAGUGAGUAACUAUAUAUGCAAAGGGUAGAAAUCAU
This 1820-nucleotide long non-coding RNA is filed under the name Nicotiana benthamiana. RNAcentral describes it as "long non-coding RNA (NBEN_LNC005051)". Lineage: Eukaryota; Viridiplantae; Streptophyta; Magnoliopsida; Solanales; Solanaceae. The record is from RNAcentral.